UAACGUCCACGAUCAUAAUCUCGAAAGAGGAUUUGUUUCCGAAUAAAAACUAGUGAUCUUACUGAUUAGUCACAUAUCGAUUAAAAAUUAGAUUUCGUGCUUUAAGAACCCUUUUUAAAAGGGUUCUUUCACUGGGUGUAAUUUUGUUCAUCCAA
Coccinella septempunctata (seven-spotted ladybird) is the source of this 155-nucleotide long non-coding RNA. RefSeq lists it as uncharacterized. Lineage: Eukaryota; Metazoa; Arthropoda; Insecta; Coleoptera; Coccinellidae. The record is from RefSeq and is a predicted model, not a curated record. The transcript is spliced from 2 exons.